GCACUGCUGAUGAGACCCAAACAGAUUGAAAGAGCUGUCCAGUGC
Molecule: non-coding RNA, 45 nt
Organism: Echinostoma caproni
Lineage: Eukaryota; Metazoa; Platyhelminthes; Trematoda; Plagiorchiida; Echinostomatidae
Source: Rfam